RNAcentral lists this ribosomal RNA (1236 nucleotides) under metagenome. RNAcentral describes it as "bacterial SSU rRNA". It matches the Rfam family "Bacterial small subunit ribosomal RNA", at positions 243 to 1520 of the family's 1533-position model. The record is from RNAcentral.
AGCUUGUUGGUAGGGUAAAAGCCUACCAAGGCUAUGAUCAGUAGCGGGUGUGAGAGCACGACCCGCCUCACAGGGACUGAGACACUGCCCUGACUCCUACGGGAGGCUGCAGUCGAGAAUCUUCCCCAAUGGCCGAAAGGCUGAGGGAGCGACGUCGCGUGAUUGAAGAAGCCCUUCGGGGUGUAAAAAUCUUUUGCAAAGGAAGAACUUUGACGGUACUUUGCGAAUGAGGGGUGGCUAAACUCGUGCCAGAAGCCUCGGUAAUACGAGUGCCCCAAACGUUAUCCGGAUUUAUUGGGCGUAAAGCGUCCGCAGGCUGUUUGAAAAGUUUUUGGUCAAAUUUUAGGGCUUAACUCUAAAACUGCCAAAAAAACUUUCAAACUAGAGAUCGGGAGAGGUUAGCGGAAUGGCCGGUGUAGGGGUCAAAUCCGUUAAUAUCGGCUAGAACACCAAAAGCGAAGGCAGCUAACUAGAACGAUUCUGACGCUCAUGGACGAAAGCGUGGGUAGCGAACGAGAUUAGAUACCUCGGUAGUCCACGCCGUAAACGAUGUGUACUUGGCAUUGGGAGUAUCGACCCUCUCAGUGUCGCCUCUAAGCAAGCUAACGCCUUAAGUACACCGCCUGAGGAGUACGAGCGCAAGCUUAAAACUCAAAGGAAUAGACGGGGACCCGCACAAGCGGUGGAUCAUGUGGUUUAAUUCGAUGGCACGCGGGAAACCUCACCAAGGCUUGACAUCUUCCGUAUGUCUCCUAAGAAAUUAGGAGUCCUUCAGGAAUGACAGGUGUUGCAUGGUUGCCGUCAGCAUGUGCAGUGAUGUGCACUCUUAACUGAGAUAACAUGCGCAACCCUCAUCCAGAGUUAUAAGUGUCUCUGGAAACUGCCCCUGCAAGGGGGAGGAAGGUGGGGAUGACGUCAAAUCAGCAUGGCCCUUACGCCUUGGGCAACACACAUGAUACAAUGGGGAGUACAAAGGGACGCCAAACCGCGAGGUGGAGCAAAUCCCUAUAAAACUCCUCUAAGUUCGGAUUGAAGUCUGCAACUCGACUUCAUGAAGCUGGAAUCGCUAGUAAACGUGUAUCAGAACGGCACGUUGAAUACGUUCUCGGGUCUUGUACUCACCGCCCGUCACACCAAGGGAGCCGGCAGUACCCAAAACGCCCCGGUUGGGGUUCUAAGGUAAGGCUGGUAACAUGUGAAGUCGUAACAAGGCAUCCGUAGCGGAAGCUGUGGAUG